UGUUUUGUAGGUUGGUAUUUGUGAAAAUAUGUGUAAAAGAUUGGGGGGAUGAGAAAAGAAUAGAUCAUAUUUAUAAUUUUGUUGUUUGAAUGGAUGAACCCAUUGCCUACGUACCAUCACAAAGGUAGGAUAAAAACCUCGUAGUUCGGGGUAAAAAUCUCAAAGAUUGGUGAAUUGAUUUGAUCAAAAGCCUUAAGGUCUUUUGUUAUCAAAGGGAGAAAACUCAACCUAAACCAACAAUCCA
Molecule: long non-coding RNA, 244 nt
Filed under: Lathyrus oleraceus (garden pea)
Lineage: Eukaryota; Viridiplantae; Streptophyta; Magnoliopsida; Fabales; Fabaceae
Description: Pisum sativum (pea) long non-coding RNA (PSAT_LNC021036)
Source: RNAcentral